UGCACUUGGAGUUAGAGAACCUUACAGCUUUUAAAGUGCCUUCCUCUUUCCAUCUUGACUCACACUUGUUACAAUUUCUCUUCUACAAAGUCAACAGUGCUAUAGCAAAGUGAAGUUUUUCCAGCUGGAGUUGUGGCUUAGUGAUAGAGGAAUUACCCGUGAUGUAUGAGGCCUCAGGUUCUGCCACCACCCCAGGUCUGCCAACACUGUCUCAAGAUACACAGGCACUUUCUGCCCGGGCAUUUCAUCCUCAGCAAUAGCAGCAGCAGUAGAACCAGGUUAG
This is a long non-coding RNA of Mastomys coucha (southern multimammate mouse), 283 nucleotides long. RefSeq lists it as uncharacterized. The record is from RefSeq and is a predicted model, not a curated record. The transcript has 3 exons. NCBI's taxonomy places the organism in Eukaryota, Metazoa, Chordata, Mammalia, Rodentia, Muridae.